CCCUGAUUUAUUUCCUUUAGUAACUUGACCACUUACGGUUACAGAACUUAACGAUUGGUUGUUAGGUUUCACGUAUGCAAAAUGGCUAAAUCUACCUUCUUGCUUAUUCAAAGUAUGAAUUCGACCAUUAACUGUUACUCC
This 141-nucleotide small nuclear RNA is filed under the name Staphylococcus aureus. Its description in RNAcentral is "SaV4". The record is from RNAcentral. Lineage: Bacteria; Bacillati; Bacillota; Bacilli; Caryophanales; Staphylococcaceae.